RNAcentral lists this ribosomal RNA (497 nucleotides) under uncultured bacterium. RNAcentral describes it as "partial 16S ribosomal RNA". It matches the Rfam family "Bacterial small subunit ribosomal RNA", at positions 28 to 507 of the family's 1533-position model. The record is from RNAcentral.
GAUGAACGCUGGCGGCGUGCCUAACACAUGCAAGUCGAGCGGAAGGACGAUGAGCUUGUGUCUUUACUGUUGGCGGGGGGCGGGUGUGUAACGAGUGGAUCAGCUCCUUCUAUUUCGGGGAUAAUUACGGGAGACAGGAGCUUAUACUAGCUAAUAUUUUGAACCGGUUGGUUCAGAAGUUCUUGACGGCUUUGCCGUCUCUAUUAGAUGAUUCCGCGCUGGAUUGGCUAGUUGGUAAGGUAACAGCUUACCAAGGCUACGUUGCAUAGCAGACCUGAGAGGAUGAUCGGCCACACUGGAACUGAGACACGGUCCAGACUCCUACGGGAGGCAGCAGUGGGGAAUCUUCGGCAAUGGGCGAAAGCCUGACACAGCAACGCCGCGUGGGUGAUGAAGGCCUUCGGAUCGUAAAACCCUGUUGUUAGGGAAGAACAGAUGUAUAAUAAACUGUGGACGUCUUGACGGUACCUAAUCAAAAAGCCCCGGCUAACUACGUG